This is a long non-coding RNA of Onychostoma macrolepis, 1773 nucleotides long. RefSeq lists it as uncharacterized. The record is from RefSeq and is a predicted model, not a curated record. The transcript has 9 exons. NCBI's taxonomy places the organism in Eukaryota, Metazoa, Chordata, Actinopteri, Cypriniformes, Cyprinidae.
AUUCACUCUCUCCAGGAGAUCAUGGUCUACUUCAAGUGCUGCUGCUCGCAGCCAGAGAUGCUUUAAUCCUGUGAUGGGCUGAAUACAGCAAACCAGUAUCUUACCAGAGAAGUGUUGAUGGAUGAUGACUGUAAUGGAGAGAGUGUCUUCCCGAGGAGUGCUUCUGUGGAGACUGUGAUGUACUGCAUCACAAAAAACAGCCGCUCCACAACAGAGAAUGUGUGAUUCAUGGGUUUUCUGAAGCCAUUCCUCCAACCUCAUGCGUCAUUAAAGGGCGAGAUGGAUAUUGCAUCCAUGAGCAAGGUAUGUUCUCAUGAAAGCCUCAUUUUGCUGUUCAUGUGUCUGCAGCCAGUUACAGAUCAUCUAAAUCAGUGGGUUUCUCUCUUUUUGCCAGCUUACAAUAACUCUACUAGAGCGAUGCGCAAUCAUAUUCAAUACAGGCACCUGUGCGUUAGCUUGGAGGCAGCCAAAGCCAGCAAAUGUCAAUAAUGUCAUACACUACAACCUGCCGCUGGGUCCGCGAUCCCAUCCGCGCCGUCUAUUCCUCUAAGACCCACUUCGGUGAUGGUGCGGGAUUUCCAGGCUCUUUUCGCCUCUAGUCCGUCUUUCGCCAGACCACGUUAACAUGUUAAAUUCACUGAACAAAUGCGCAUGCUCUGACACGGGUAGACAUGCUUACAUUGCAUGUAAUGGGGUGGAACCCCAAAAAAACGUCUCUCUCUACAUCAGUCACUUUCAACAAGAUAUGUGAAGACUUGUCAGAGACUCCAGGAUGAAACGGCAAGGCUAGCUGAACUGAAAACAGAGUUACUUUGCACAGAUGAAGUGGUGGCACAGUGGCUUUCUGAUGUGAAGGAAUGGGCUGCUGGCGAGACACCAAAUACAUCUCAUGGCAGUCAAGGCACCGCACACAGAGGACUUCAGCAGUCGAUCGAGGGCUUUACCUCAGUGUGAGGCAGCGGAAGCAAACCCUUUACAGUCAGAAUGACAGCAGCAAGCUUCGCCACCGCCUUCGAAGGAAGCUGGCAGAAGACAAAAAGCUCCUUCUUCAGGAGACAGAGAAAUACAGUGGUCUUGUACUCGACUCUGCCACUAACACUGAUGUAGCUGUGGUGGAGCGUUCCCUGACUGGAGAGAGCACUGUGUCUCAAAUAUGGCCGUGGGAGGUUCAAGGCAGUGGGACCAAACAUUUCAAUCAAGAAACAACUGCAUGACCAAGUGAUGUUGACAAUGCGACUGCAAGAGGAAAACAGCAUUAUGGUGUUGAGAUGGAUGGCACAACACUGCACAUGGUUGCAGAGCCUGCAGUGGUUCUGAAGAAGAAGAUAGCUGAGGAGGAUGUAGACAAGGGGAAGGAGGGACUUUGCUGUCUCUUAAGAAGACGACUGUCAGAGGUGUCAGAAAGGCUGCAAGUGCUCCUCCAACCGUACAAGACUGCUUUAGGCCCCGAGGCCUCUGCUCUUCUACAUGUUGAAGCAGAAGAUCAAAGUGGCCUCAGUAGUCCAGAUACCAGUGAGGAUGAAGAAGAAAACACAAUUUAGAUUGAUGGCAGUGUCAGCGUCUCGAUCGAUCGUACAUCUGCAGGAACUUUUUCAGUUGAUUUUACAUCUGACGUCAUUGACGUGGCGAUUCUGAAUCAAUUUCGAUACGCUGCUGGAUAAGAGUCCGACGAAAUUAAAUAUUUGCCAAUUCUGUGCAUUUUCUGUUUUUUGGGGGUUUUUUUGUUUACAUUUUGAAAGCUUAACAUGUCCUCUGCAAAUACAAAUUGAGAUC